GUAGUUUGACUCCUGGCUACGAGGACGACGCUGGCGGCGUGCUUAACACAUGCAAGUCGAACGGAGUUAAACGCUGGAUUGAUGGUAGCUUGCUACAGGAUUUCCUUGUUUAACUUAGUGGCGGACGGGUGAGUAACGCGUGAGUAACCUGCCUCUGAGUGGGGAAUAACGUUCUGAAAAGAACGCUAAUACCGCAUAAUAUAUAUUUGCCGCAUGACAGAUAUAUCAAAGAUUUAUCGCUCGGAGAUGGACUCGCGUCCGAUUAGCUGGUUGGUGAGGUAACGGCUCACCAAGGCGACGAUCGGUAGCCGGACUGAGAGGUUGAACGGCCACAUUGGGACUGAGACACGGCCCAGACUCCUACGGGAGGCAGCAGUGGGGGAUAUUGCGCAAUGGGGGAAACCCUGACGCAGCAACGCCGCGUGGAGGAAGACGGUUUUCGGAUUGUAAACUCCUUUUAUAAGGGACGAACUAAGACGGUACCUUAUGAAUAAGCUCCGGCUAACUACGUGCC
Molecule: ribosomal RNA, 514 nt
Filed under: uncultured organism
Description: SSU rRNA
Rfam family: Bacterial small subunit ribosomal RNA
Source: RNAcentral